Molecule: ribosomal RNA, 740 nt
Filed under: uncultured bacterium
Lineage: Bacteria
Description: bacterial SSU rRNA
Rfam family: Bacterial small subunit ribosomal RNA
Source: RNAcentral
AUGCAAGUCGAGGGUUUGAUUUAUCAAGCACUGGCAUCCGGGUGAGUAACGCGUAGGUCAUCUGCCCCUAUCACAGACAUAACAGUUCUAACGGACUGCUAAUAUCUGAUGAGGCGAGCAAUCGUCAAAGCUUUGGCGGAUAGGGAUGAGCCUGCGUCUGAUUAGGUAGUUGGUGAGGUAAUGGCUCACCAAGCCUUCGAUCAGUAGCUGGUCUGAGAGGACGAACAGCCACACUGGAACUGAGACACGGUCCAGACUCCUACGGGAGGCAGCAGUGAGGAAUACUGGUCAAUGGGCGCAAGCCUGAACCAGCGACGCCGCGUGCGGGAUGAAGGGGCUUUGCCUCGUAAACCGCUGUCGGAUGGGACGAAAGGUGGCUUUGAGCCACUGGGACGGUACCAUCAAAGGAAGGAUCGGCUAACUACGUGCCAGCAGCCGCGGUAAUACGUAGGAUCCGAGCGUUGUCCGGAGUUACUGGGUGUAAAGGGUGCGUAGGCUGUUCUGUGCGUCAGAGGUGAAAUCCACGGGCUUAACUCGUGGGGUGCCUUUGAUACGGCAGGGCUUGAGUACGAGAGAGGUGCGUGGAAUUCCUGGUGUAGCAGUGAAAUGCGUAGAUAUCAGGAGGAACACCGGUGGCGAAGGCGGCGCACUGGCUCGUAACUGACGCUGAGGCACGAAAGCGUGGGGAUCAAACAGGAUUAGAUACCCUGGUAGUCCACGCCUUAAACGAUGCAUGCUUG